CCCACCCUCCCACUGCAGCUGGCAUCUGUGUUGCACUGCAGCUGAUUUGUACUGCAGGCUGAGACAUGAGACGGCAACUUUGUGUCCCAUUACAGGCAGUUAAAUGCCGCUGAAACGAAGGACUGAACAAAGGGCUGCAGGAAUAAAGGACUGAAGGAUUGUCUGUUAAACUGUAUUGGACUGAUAAUGUAGAGCCUAUGCAGGUAUAAAAUUAUCCAGAAUUAUCAACGGAGCAGAAACCAGAUCACAUCUGAGCAACAGAUCAUUUGGCAGAGAAAUAUAAAUUACGAGUUUUAGCACAAUUUUGUGCAUAUCUACACACAGGUAAGUCUCACUAAGUUUAACAGGGUUUAUUCUGUGGCAAGUGAGUCCAAAGAAUUGGAGCCUUAAAAAUGUCAUCUGAUUGGGUUGGUGGGGAAGGAAUUUUUCCCACUCUCACUUCUUACC
This 447-nucleotide long non-coding RNA is filed under the name Pogona vitticeps (central bearded dragon). RNAcentral describes it as "lncRNA (ENSPVIG00000000200.1)". The record is from RNAcentral. Lineage: Eukaryota; Metazoa; Chordata; Lepidosauria; Squamata; Agamidae.